GUGCUUGCUUCAGCAGCACAUACACUAAAAUUGGAAUGAUACAGAGAUUAGCCUGGCCCCUGUGCGAGGAUGACACACAAAUUCGUGAAGCGCUCCAUAUUUUU
Molecule: small nuclear RNA, 104 nt
Organism: Rattus rattus (black rat)
Lineage: Eukaryota; Metazoa; Chordata; Mammalia; Rodentia; Muridae
Source: RefSeq, a predicted model, not a curated record